CCCCAUGGUUCCGCCCAACCACUUCCAGUUGAUCCUAUUGAGAGACUUCCAGCUGCGGCUUUUGUGCUGAUAACAUUGCAACUGUAUAGACUGAUAACAGCUAGUAUUCCAUUACAAAAGUACAAUAGUGUUGCAACAGAAACCAUCCAGAAAGAAAUAAAAAAAUAUCUGUUUAAGUCUUGUAUUAUGUCCAAUUCCGAUAUCGUAUCGAUUGUCAGCUCAUCGAAGGUUUGUAUUGCGACACCAAACGUUACCAAGCAUACAAUUAAAGCAGAACC
This 278-nucleotide long non-coding RNA is filed under the name Mytilus galloprovincialis (Mediterranean mussel). The record is from RNAcentral. Lineage: Eukaryota; Metazoa; Mollusca; Bivalvia; Mytilida; Mytilidae.